Antechinus flavipes (yellow-footed antechinus) is the source of this 907-nucleotide long non-coding RNA. RefSeq lists it as uncharacterized. NCBI's taxonomy places the organism in Eukaryota, Metazoa, Chordata, Mammalia, Dasyuromorphia, Dasyuridae. The record is from RefSeq and is a predicted model, not a curated record. The transcript is spliced from 2 exons.
AAAUACUGAACCAUUCUUCUAGGAGAAAUACAGGUUAGGUUCCUGUGAGCUGGUCACAAAUUUUCUUUGUCUCACAUAUAAAAUAACAAUUUCCUCAUCUAUUCUCUCAACUAUUGUAAUAUUGAUUUGUUAACCUUGAACUUACAGCCAGUAGCACUACAUAACCCAAGAUUAAACAAAGCUUAUCUAAUGUAGUUUCUCUGUAAAGUACAUCAUAGCCUUCUUAUACCUGGGAACACGACAUAACUUUUUUUUUUUUUUAAAUUUAAAUUUUAUUUUAUUGAUUAAUAACUUUGUAUUGACAGAAUCCAUGCCAGGAUAAUUUUUUUACAACAUUAUCCCUUGCAAUCACUUAUGUUUCGUUUUUUUCCCCUCCUUCCCUCUACCCCCCUCCCCCCAAUAUGGCAAGCAGUCCUAUAUAUGUUAAAUAUGUUGUAGUAUAUCCUAGAUACAAUACAUAUUUGCAGAACCGAACAGUUCUCCUGUUGCACAGGGAGAAUUGGAUUCAGAAGGUAAAAAUAACUCAGGAAGAAAAUCAAAAAUGCAAAUAGUUCACAUUCAUUUCCCAGUGUUCCUUCUUUGGGUGUAGCUGUUUCUGUCCAUCAUUUAUCCAUUGAAACUCAGUUAGGUCUCUUUGUCAUAGAAAUCCACUUCCAUCAGAAUACAUCCUCAUACAAUAUCGUUGUCAAAGUGUAUAAUGAUCUCCUGGUUCUGCUCAUCUCACUUAGCAUCAGUCCAUGUAGGUCUCUCCAAGCCUCUCUGUAUUCAUCCUGCUGGUCAUUCCUUACAGAGCAAUAAUAUUCCAUAACAUUCAUAUACCACAAUUUACCCAGCCAUUCUCCAAUUGAUGGGCAUCCAUUCAUUUUCCAGUUUCUAGCCACUACAAACAGGGCUGCUACAAACAUUU